GUAUAUCCAUGGGUUUUUGGUCGGUGAGGAUGACUCUUUAUUUUCCGAGACCGUUUACACUUUGCAUUUGCUUCUGUCAUGCUGUGGUUGGAAGACUAUUUAAUUUGGGUAUUACAAUACUGCGAUGAUGCUACGCUAAGACACUACAUCUAUCAAAGCAAAAUCAAACAUGUCUUGAAGACCGUUAAGAGCCAUUAGGCCAAAAUGUAACACCCCAAUCACAUAACACGCGGCGGAAAUAUCGGGGAGUCACGUUACAAAUUGCUCACAACAACUGGGUGAUGGUAUUAAGGCGAUG
RNAcentral lists this long non-coding RNA (298 nucleotides) under Helianthus annuus (common sunflower). RNAcentral's name for it is "sRNA HanXRQr2_Chr09g0383381". The record is from RNAcentral. Lineage: Eukaryota; Viridiplantae; Streptophyta; Magnoliopsida; Asterales; Asteraceae.